AGAUAUUUAUUUCCUUGGAGUAUCUACUAAAUUUAUUAGUAUAAUCUAAACGAUUCAAUAAGAUAAUAUCAAAUAAUAGAAUAUACAGUGCAUUGUUUUUCUCCUCCAAUGACAGUUCACCAUCAAGUUAUAUCAUAAUAAAAUCGUCACUCAAGUUAAUUUGUUCGAGGAGACAAUACUAUGUCCUUGAGACUAUAAAAAUCUAAUUGAAUGUUUAUAGUAUCAAAAAACAAGUUAUAGUAUAAAAAAUGAAAUCGAACUCCCGUGAGCUAAAUAUAACCAACAAUUGCUCCACCAAGAAAUCGAACUCAUGUUAUUUCCUUUGUCCAGAAAAUUAUUAGAAAUUAUCAAUUGAAUAUGAUGAAAUAAGAUUUGGUUUUAAAGUUCCAAUUUGCUGACAUUUUUUAUAUCAAAUGCAAUAAUUGAUGUUGGUAUUUAUACCUUUGCAUCAUAAAUUUUGGGUGCACCCAUUUUCGCAUUGUUACUACCAGCUGCCAAAUAUUAGUAACAUAUACCUUCUUAAAUAUGUACGUAAAAAAUAUAUGAAUUUAAACUUAAGUUUUUAUUCAGAGUUGAAUUUCGGUUUAAAAUCUAUGAACUAUCAAAUUUGACAAUCUGUAUCUUCCCCCAUUUCUUGAUGGUCCCAACUUUCAACCAUUUUGAUAGGAUGGUAUUAUGUUGCAAUAUAUCUCUUUUGAUAUGUACUCUUGUUGAAUUUGUUUUUGUCUAAGUUCCAAAAUGUCGUUUUUAUCUUUUAAUCAAUUUGAAGCUCUUGGAUGCGACAUUUACAUUUUUCUACUUUGAUAUUAAUGAAGUUAUUCUAUUCAUUUUCUUGUGAUAAAAUGCUAAGGAAGAGAAUACAACUCUAAGAGAUAAUGUCAGCUCAUGUGAUUAUAGACAUGCACGAAGAGCCUGCAGGAUUGAAUCCAAGGUUACCCGAGACGAUGAUUUGAGAUCUAUGUAUAAUUCUGUUCCAAAAACUGCAUGACGAGACUGCAUGUUCCAAAAAUUACACAUGGAAGCUCUUGCAGUUUUUGGAACAAAAAUUACAAAGAGAUUCCAAAUCUUCAUCUCGAGUAACCUUGGAUUCAAUCAUACAGGCUCUUCGUGCAUGUCUAAUCAAAUAAGCAAACAUUUUCUGUAAGAGUUGUAUUUUCUUCCUGCACAUAUUAACACAAUAAAAUGAACAAAAUAAAUUCAUUAAUAUAAGAGUAGAAAAAUAUAAAAGCCACUUCCAAGAGCUUCAAAUGGAUUAAAAGAGGAAGACGACAUUAUGGAACUUGGAGAAAGAUUCACAAGAGUACAAAGCCAAAGAGAUAUUGAGAGUUAACAACCCCCUCACCUUAGAUAUUGAGAGCAAUUCCUUCCUUAAAACAACAUAUGUUUAAGAAGAUAGGAAUCCUCUCUACUAUAGCUAUAUCAAUGUCGCCUUUGGUCUCUGGUAUAAAAUUACCACAUAUAAAAAUGGUUGAAAAGAUAAGACUCUCAAGAAAUGGGGUCAAAUCCAGAUUGUCAUCGCAAGCUCAAAUCCAGAGUAAGAGAUAAAUUUGAUAGCUCAUAGAUUUUAAACUAAAGUUUGAAUUUGAAUAAAUACUUAAAUUCAUAGAUUUUUAUGUACAUCAUUAAGGGGGUAUUUGAUACUAAUAAUCAACAGUUGGUAUUAACUGUACAAAAAAAGGGUGCUAGCAAAAUUUAUGAUCAAAGAUUUAAAUACCAACAUUAAUUUCCUUCAAAAAAAAAAUACCAACAUCAAUUAUUGCAGUUCAUAUAAAAAAUGUCAGAAAAUGUGAACUGUAAAACCAAAUCUUAUUUCUUGAUGAAAUAAAUUUAUUGGUGGACUAUAUUUACCUCACAAUCAAACCCCAUGUAAUAAAUAUUUUAAUGAGUGGGUAGCAGAACUUGACCAUGUCGACCAAACGACGGAUGCGAAGGAAGGCGUCUUCAUUGUUAACAUAUUCGUCGUCGAAGUUGAGAGUAGUGAGCGAUAUGCAGCAUCAGGCACAUCUGAAUAGUUCUGGGGAUGGCAAAUUUAUUUGCUUGGGAGAAAAGAGAGUAUAAGAAACAAGGUGUCAUCAAGAAUGGUGCUAAUAAUAUCAGAAUUCUCGAUUAUGUUGUAAAGCUU
Molecule: long non-coding RNA, 2122 nt
Filed under: Medicago truncatula (barrel medic)
Lineage: Eukaryota; Viridiplantae; Streptophyta; Magnoliopsida; Fabales; Fabaceae
Description: long non-coding RNA (MTRU_LNC003477)
Source: RNAcentral